RNAcentral lists this ribosomal RNA (207 nucleotides) under uncultured bacterium. RNAcentral's name for it is "partial 16S ribosomal RNA". It matches the Rfam family "Bacterial small subunit ribosomal RNA", at positions 568 to 774 of the family's 1533-position model. The record is from RNAcentral.
AGCGUAGGCGGUGAAGUAAGUUAGAUGUGAAAGCCCGGGGCUCAACCUCGGGACUGCAUUUAAAACUGCUUUGCGGGAGUGCAGGAGAGGAAAGCGGAAUUCCUAGUGUAGCGGUGAAAUGCGUAGAUAUUAGGAGGAACACCAGUGGCGAAGGCGGCUUUCUGGACUGUAACUGACGCUGAGGCUCGAAAGCGUGGGGAGCGAACA